This 512-nucleotide ribosomal RNA is filed under the name Listeria monocytogenes. Its description in RNAcentral is "bacterial SSU rRNA". It matches the Rfam family "Bacterial small subunit ribosomal RNA", at positions 1020 to 1533 of the family's 1533-position model. The record is from RNAcentral. Lineage: Bacteria; Bacillati; Bacillota; Bacilli; Caryophanales; Listeriaceae.
UCGGGGACAAAGUGACAGGUGGUGCAUGGUUGUCGUCAGCUCGUGUCGUGAGAUGUUGGGUUAAGUCCCGCAACGAGCGCAACCCUUGAUUUUAGUUGCCAGCAUUUAGUUGGGCACUCUAAAGUGACUGCCGGUGCAAGCCGGAGGAAGGUGGGGAUGACGUCAAAUCAUCAUGCCCCUUAUGACCUGGGCUACACACGUGCUACAAUGGAUAGUACAAAGGGUCGCGAAGCCGCGAGGUGGAGCUAAUCCCAUAAAACUAUUCUCAGUUCGGAUUGUAGGCUGCAACUCGCCUACAUGAAGCCGGAAUCGCUAGUAAUCGUGGAUCAGCAUGCCACGGUGAAUACGUUCCCGGGCCUUGUACACACCGCCCGUCACACCACGAGAGUUUGUAACACCCGAAGUCGGUAGGGUAACCUUUAUGGAGCCAGCCGCCGAAGGUGGGACAGAUAAUUGGGGUGAAGUCGUAACAAGGUAGCCGUAUCGGAAGGUGCGGCUGGAUCACCUCCUUU